This 443-nucleotide ribosomal RNA is filed under the name uncultured bacterium. RNAcentral describes it as "partial 16S ribosomal RNA". It matches the Rfam family "Bacterial small subunit ribosomal RNA", at positions 338 to 795 of the family's 1533-position model. The record is from RNAcentral.
CCUACGGGGUGCAGCAGUGGGGAAUAUUGGGCAAUGGGCGCAAGCCUGACCCAGCAACGCCGCGUGAAGGAAGAAGGCCCUCGGGUUGUAAACUUCUUUUAUUCGGGACGAAACAAAUGACGGUACCGCAUGAAUAAGCCACGGCUAACUACGUGCCAGCAGCCGCGGUAAUACGUAGGUGGCAAGCGUUAUCCGGAUUUACUGGGUGUAAAGGGCGUGUAGGCGGGAGAGCAAGUCAGACGUGAAAUUCCAGGGCUCAACCCUGGAACUGCGUUUGAAACUGUUCUUCUUGAGUGAGGGAGAGGCAGGCGGAAUUCCGUGUGUAGCGGUGAAAUGCGUAGAUAUACGGAGGAACACCAGUGGCGAAGGCGGCCUGCUGGACAUUAACUGACGCUGAGGCGCGAAAGCGUGGGGAGCAAACAGGAUUAGAUACCCGGGUAGUC